Triticum dicoccoides is the source of this 1722-nucleotide long non-coding RNA. RefSeq lists it as uncharacterized. The transcript has 3 exons. NCBI's taxonomy places the organism in Eukaryota, Viridiplantae, Streptophyta, Magnoliopsida, Poales, Poaceae. The record is from RefSeq and is a predicted model, not a curated record.
CUUCUUCAUUGAUUGUAACUCAAGUUUUUCGGAGAUCUUCCUCCCCUUUCACUCAAACUUGUUGAUAUUUGGGGACUCAAAGACAGAUUGGAGACUCCUAGACGGUAGGAGUCCUCGGUGAGAAAAUGAUUUGUGAUUUUUCCCGUCGUUUGUGAAGGUUUUGAGAUCGCCUCCAGGUAUACCACCAGUGAUUGGGAAUCACCUUCUUGGUGAUAUCUCAACAAGAAGAGGGUGAGCUUUCAUGGUGUUGAUGUGCCUUUAUGGUAACACCCACCCCUCCAACAUUGACUAGUUUCUCUCCAAAGAAGCGACCAUUCGGAUAUUAUCGUCUCAGGUGUUUUCGGUUAUAUCUAGCCCCUAACUCACCAUAUAGAUUGUUUAUCUCACUACAAUUGUUUAAGAUCUGGUAAGUAAGGGGUUAGUAGAAAACCAAUUAUUGGACUAGUAUUACCAAAAAAAAUCACGUGGAGAAAUACUUUUUAUGAGUGUGGUACUAUUCGAAUCAAUUGAGUUAAACCUAGCAAAAUUGGUGUGAUUUGUGUCAAUCACGAUCCCUAGAUAAGAUACUGUUUGUAGAGAUUGAUUCGUUGUAAUCCUAUAAUCAAUUGUAACAUUAGCGAUCAAGUGUCAUCCAUGUAUAAAUACGAGGCAAAUCCCUACGGGGUAUCUCACAGCAAAACAUUGUAGUAUUUGAGUUGGUAACAGAGGCAAGAUGCCGCAGCAACGACAGAACCAACCUGAAGUCCCAAGUUUGAUCCCUAUUCAGACAUUGUGUCGCAACCGCUUCAAUCAUGUGUACUAGUUCAUGUCCAUAGUGUACUACAAACCAGUGCUGCGGCGUCGCUGGAACGCUCACGAUGAUCCUCGGGCUGGAGCACAUGAUUAAAGCGGUUGCGGCAUUGCCUGAGUUUGGAGCAAACAUGGCUCUUGAGAUUGCUUCCGCCAUUGCCGCGUAUGCGCCCACCUAGGCCACAUAAAAUGCACAUUAUUUGAUUUCAGACCAGAUUACAUUGUGGUGCAAAUGUGUGCAGGAUUCGGUGGAGGUUCACUUGACACUUGAGAGUUCAAGGAUGGAGGCGACAUGCUUCAAGAAACAUGAUGGAGUAGCCCAUUUCAAAACUUGGAGUAGCAAGCUCUGUUUGCCCUCGGUUUCUGAACUUGCCAGAAGUCGAUGGGAGGUCGAGUCGUGAAACAGCAGCAGCAGCAACGAAGAUACUGCUGAACCUUCCUCGCUCACCUGCUCCCGCUGCUGCUGACCCUUCUCGUGAUGCUCGUCCUACUCCCCACCGGAGCUAACCACGACCGACAACGACAAACAGGGCAGAUUGCGAUCUUUCCUGACCUACUGCAGCAACAAACAGCACAGCACAUUACUCUGUCUCCAUGUCUGAACUUUUGUUUGAAACAAAGUUCCUGAACUUCCUAAUUAACAUGUUCUAAUCCCAGCGCGCAUUGUGCUAGGAGCACCUCCGAUCCUUCUCUGUGAAUGUUUAAGAGGAAAAUCAACCUUGCGUCGCUACAUGUAAGAGAGAGGCCUAUGGGCGACGCUACAGGUUGUGUGGGUGUGUAACUUAAAUAGCAAACAGUGAUUUGGGUUUGUGACACAGACCACAAGAAGAAUGGCAAAGCUUUCUAUCUGCUAUGGGAAGGCCACCUCUCCUUUGCUUCUUCUUGUUGAUGAUACUUGUUCUAUUCUAUCUGUGUACAACCCAUGGAGUUUCA